This 402-nucleotide ribosomal RNA is filed under the name Triticum aestivum (bread wheat). RNAcentral's name for it is "partial small subunit ribosomal RNA". The record is from RNAcentral. Lineage: Eukaryota; Viridiplantae; Streptophyta; Magnoliopsida; Poales; Poaceae.
AUGAAUUGUAUUGUUUUCAUCUGGUUGUCUCUCAAGUUCAGGAUAUGGAAGUCUGACCGCAGGGUUUCCGGGGGCCUACAGGCGACCAUGUCGCCGUGUUCUUUCUGUCUUCAGGAGUAUGAAACAACGGACCACCUGCUUGUUCAAUGCGUGCUCCCAAUCCCUCAAAUACAAUGCUUGAUUCUUUUGUCAUGCAAACUUUCUGGACGUAAUGCUCGUGUCUUUGGUAACAAUCAUCAAGUAUUUCCUGAAGCUAGGCUAGGAGAUAUCAUUUACCAAGAGCUUCAGCAAUGGAUACAUGCAGGAGCCAGAAGUUUAGUGCUAAUUGGAUUGGGUAGGACCGUAGGAGUAGUUCCCUGUAAUAUAUGUUUCUUUUUUUUUUCCUUUACCUGCCCUAGAUGA